CUCCAUCUUGGUUCCUCAUUGAAAAUUGAGAGAGGUGAUUCACUUCAAGUUUUAGCGUAGAUUGAUUUCUUUAUUUAUCCUUCUAAUAAGCAUAUCAAUUCUUGAAAACUUUAGACUGUCUGAUAUUUAUAUAGAUGGUAUAAUGCAUGUAUGCGUAUAUUUAGUUUUGCAUUGACUAUGUAUUAAAUAGAUUUUGGAUACUUAUUUAUAAUACUAGUCUCUUGCUAGUUUAUGCAGUCGGGC
Molecule: long non-coding RNA, 243 nt
Filed under: Elaeis guineensis (African oil palm)
Lineage: Eukaryota; Viridiplantae; Streptophyta; Magnoliopsida; Arecales; Arecaceae
Description: long non-coding RNA (EGUI_LNC004333)
Source: RNAcentral